CCUUUCAUACCAAUGGCUGCUAAACACAAACAUGUUUGGCUUCAUCUGGGAACACUGAUGUGAACAGAAUACAUUCCUCCUCUAUGCAGGCACAGGAAUGAAGAUGGAAAUUUAACGCAAAGCAUCCUGGUCCUUGCUCAUUAUGAUUCUGUAAAGUCCUGCCAUUUAGGAAAUGUGUCUCAAUUUCUGUGGAGAUGAAGCAGGAAGGUCAGACUGAGCUUUAAUCAAGUGCCUGAAGCCAUGUCAGGGUCUGGCCAUGGCUGCUAUUCACUUAAUCCCUGAAGCCCAGUGAGUAUACUGAUAUUGUCAUUGACAAUUUACUCUUGCGGUAUUUUUCUGCUAAACUGAGAGGGAUUUUGUCACUGGUGCACUAUCAAAAAUACAUGAAGGACUUGCCCCUUAUUAAGAGAUGCCAUGUCAGUUGAGGUCACAUUUAUAAUGAAACCCCAGCAAUGAGGAGUCUCCAUCCCUCACAGGAAACAAGGAAAAAAGCAGAACUCUUAAAUUGCUCUAUGCUGCAAGGAGGAUUAGCCUCCUCCUGGGGAAAAUGUAGUGGGCUGUCAUGCCAUUUUGUUCAAAGGAUUUCCCCUUCUUCUCGCUGCCUUGAACUCCUUGUCAUCGUCUCUCCCCUCACCCUGCCCCACCAGCAUCCCCAAUGCACGGGCACGGCCCCCAACCCCUUUGGCAAUCUUCUUCAUCCCUUUUAUUUCAUAAGAAUUUCUUUUCUUUUUCCAGUGUCCUAGAUGCUAUAAUUCAUUCUGCAUUAGGUGGGGAUUACUGAUUGACUCCCGAGAAGUCUGGAAAGUUAGACAUUGAUAAAUCAGGUAGUUCUUGGGUUAAGAAGGGUGUCAUACAUGCUGCCAGACUUGAUACUAGGUAUGCCAGCUAAAUUUUCCUCUUCAAUUUGAAAGUCUCUCAAAUCCCACUGAAGUGGUAGACUAUAUGCAUUAAAAACAAAACUUGAUUGCUGUUCAUCAAGUUUGAAAGAAUAUAGGUUUCCACCCUUGGGCAUUAGACAUAUGAAAUGGUUAUGAGUGGGGCAGCCAACCCUAGACAAAACCAUAGGAAUGGGAAUCCUGUCACUGCCCCCUCCGCCACAAUUACCCUUGUCAGCCCCCUCUCCCGAGGCACCUUUUCUUCCCCAUUCUUCCUCUGGCUGGCUAUCUGUUGCCAGUUAAGGGAUUAUUAACGUUAUUUUAAAUUGGAAACAUUUUCAGACAGGUUUGCAACUGAAAAGUGAGAAUCAAGAAAGUUCUUCCAUAUGGCCUUUGGAAGUCUGCUUACCUGAGUUCUAAAUAAAAUCUCCAAAACAACUUCAAGGAUGUUGUUUGUAAUUAGGGACUUUCAAGGAGGUUAGGAGCUUCUCCAUGUUGUCCUCUUUCUUUACUUUAACAGACUGUUCCUAAUGAAAUACCUGUCCUUUUGCUAAAAUACCUUGAACUAAGAUAUUAAUAUUAAGAGAUUAAGUAACAGUGCUUCAAGAAAUAGAAAAAACCAUUCUGUUAAUGCCACAAAUAUUCCCCUCCCAACUUUUUGGUUGUCAAAAUCACCUGCUCUUACUAGAUAACACCUAGACUUUUCUAAACCAUUUACAAGACACAUUAACAAAGUGUCUUGGAAGCUGUGUCUCACCUCCCAGUUGUCAGCCCGGAGACUGCCCAAUAUCCAAUGUCAAGGGAUGCAAAGUUUGAUUCUUAUCUACAAGUCUUGGCCUUCCUAACCUGAUAACAGCCAUGUUCUCUCUCAAUAUUUAUAUUCUUACAUUUGCUAAGGCUCUUAAUUGAGAGCAACAAAAUCAGGCUUAACAGAAGAAAAUAAAAUUUUUGUUAAGAUGUGAAAGUGUCUUGCAGAAACUAAGGAAGACUUGACCAGCAGACCAAGGUAAGGGCAGAAACUCAGACGGUAGAUGGGCCUCAAGAAUGGCAUUAGGAUCAUGGUAGGUCUCGCACCCCCGUCUCUGCUGUAUAUGUUCUUCAAUCAUAUUCAUUCUCUCUCUCUCCCUCUCUCCUCCCCACCCCUCUCCCCCCGCCCCUGCUUCUCUCUCAACUGGCAUUGUUUUCUCUAUUCCUUAUGGCAGAAAAAUACGAUAACUAAGCGGUCUAAAUUUUAUACAGUAUAGGUCUGUCAUCUUGACAAAGACAGAAUCAUCCUCAGAACAAGUUUUAAAAUGCAGACAAAUGCUUUGGCCUAUACAAAUAUCUUAAUUUGGGGAUAUAAAUUGUGUUCAGAAGAUGUACUCAGAUGUUAGUGCACCCUGGAACAUGGUGGCCAAAAAAGGUCAAGAAACGGAAUGAGUACUUGUGAUCAGCUGAAUAAUAAUCACCAAAAAUGUUGUUACCUUAUUUGGCAAAAGUAACUUUGCAGGUGUGAUUAGGUUAAGGCUCUUGAGGUGGGAAGAUUAUCCUGGAUUAUCCACUGUGCCCUAAAGGUAAUCACAAGUGUCCUUAUAAGAGACAGGCAGAGUGAGAUUCAGUUUUAGCAGAGAUGAAAGCAGAAAUUGGAAGGACGUUCUUUGAAGGUGGAGGAAGAAACAACAAGCCAAGCAAUACUGGAGUCUAAAACAUGCAAGGAAACAUAUAUUCCUGGAGUGUGCACAGACCUACUGAUACCUUGAUUUCAGCUUAGCGAAAGCCAUUUCUUUUUUGUUUGUUUUUUGUGAGGCUUUGUUGUUGUUGAUUUUUUCAUGUGAAAGCCAUUUCUGACUCCUGUUCUACAUUACUGUAAAAGAAUAAAUGUGUGUUUUAGGCUAUCAAGUUUGUGGUAUUUUAUUAGAGCAGACAUAGGAACCUAAUUUAGUAAUUCUUUAAAAUACAAGAAUGGGGCCGGGAGUGGUGGCUCACACCUGUAAUCCCAGCACUUUGGGAGGCCAAGGUGGGCGGAUCGCCUGAGGUCAGGAGUUCAAGACCAGCCUGGCCAACAUGGUGAAACCCCAUCUCUACUAAAAAUAUAAAAAUUAGCUGGGUGUGGUGGUGGGUUCCUGUAAUCCCAGCUACUUGGGAGGCUGAGACAGGAGAAUUGUUUGAACCCAGGAGGCAGAGAUUGCUGUGAGCCGAGAUUGUUCCACUGCACUCCAGCCUGGGCGACAGAGUGAGAUUCCAUUUCAAAAAUAAUAAUAAUAAAAUAAAUAAAAUAAAAUAAAAUACAAGAAGGGGUAGCAAUGCCAGGAAGGGAAUUCUUAGUAAGACUCUGAGACCUCAAUACAAAAGACUAUAAAUGGUCACUUGGAAGGAAGUUCAAAGAAAAACCAAGUAUCGGGGGGAAGACCUAAAUAGAGGAAAGAAAGAUAAAUAUAAAGGCUAGAAAGGACACUAAACUGGAAAUUAAGGUUCUGUUCCCAGCUCCCUGACUCAGAUUAUAGUGUAGAAUAGGCCCUCUACCUUCUUAGCCUUUGUCUAUGCACCUUGACAUGAGGGUUUAAGUAACAUAAUCCCAACGGUCCCUGCCGCUUUAAGAUUUCACGAUGCUAAACCUCUGUCUAGAUUUUGGCCUAGAUUUUGCAGUGUUAGCACCUGGGGGCUCUUGAAGUUUACAUUUCUGGUUUUGACAUGGUAGAUAUAUUGACACAAAAUCCAAUACAACUAGAAUGGAAAACCCCCAGAUGGGCAUGUACAAAAUCUCUGAGAUUAUUUAAUAAGAAGGAGAACAAGGGAAACUAAAGGCAAGACCCUUGAGUCAGCUCUGGAAAAAAUUUUCGCAGUGGACUAACAACUGCUUGUAAAAGCAUAUGUGAAUAUUCCUCAAGGAAAUCUGGAGACAGCUCUGCAGAGCUGAAAGUAAAACACAAAUCUAUCAGCACCACUGGAGGGAAAAACACAUUCCCUGGUGAUGACAGAAUUUGUUGGUAUAGAACAAAUAGCACUUUAAAAUAAUAAGGUAAUGUUUAUGUUUGGGGAAAUAAUUUAAAGAUAAACAAAUGUGCCUACAAUUGGUACAUCAGAAUUUAUUUUGCCCUAAAUUCCUCGUCUGUGUUCCUUUUGUUGGCUAAAAUCAUAGCAAUUCUAACAAAAGUUACUAGAUAUUUGAAUCCUUGUAAGUAUGGCCAUAAAUUGUGUUUUAAAAAUCUUCAAAUCGUUUGCAUAGUUCUGUCAUCAUAUGGAAAUGCAAAGAUGUUUGUUCUGUCUUGAAACCGUAAUAAAAAGAAGACAAGCUAUGUGUCCGUUCAGUAUUGCAUUCAGCUGAGUGUAAUAGAACUCAAGCUGUAAUUGUUUAAUGAAAGUGGGUAAACUCUUCUUUGAUUAAAAUCAGUCCAAAUGUAGGCAAUCCAGGGUUAGUCCAAGGAUUUCACAAUGACAUAAGUCUCAACUCCUAUUCUUCUGCUGUCAUCCUCGCAAAUGGAUUUGCUUUACAUUACUGAUCCAUAGCACAAGAUAGCUGCUCCAGCUUCAACUCCCUCUGCAUUCCAAGCAGGAAAAAGAGAUGAAUGCAAAAGGCAAAAGGUUUAUUAAUCCCUUUCAAGAGCUUUCCUCAGAGCAACAUCUACACACAUUACAUUGCUAGAACUAUGUCCCUCUUUACACACCCCCAGUUGCAAAAGAGGCUGGCCAAAGUAAUCUAAAAAAAAAAAAAGGUUGAGUACUUGCUUUCUUAAAAACAUCAGAAUUUGUUUUAGAAACAAAGCACAGGAUAAUGAAUAUUAGGCAGACAACUAAAAUGUCUGUCAAAUUCUUGAAAAAUCGUCAACCAUUUUAUUUGCCUUAAUGAAGUGAUCAUUAGGGCUUCUCUUAUAAUCUUUUUUUAAAGAAGACUUUUAAAGGAAACUUUAGAUUUUAAGAUUAUUUAACUUUUAUUUUAAGUUCAGGGGGACAUGUGCAGGAUGCGCAGGUUACACACAUGAAUGUGUGUCAUGGGGGGUUGCUAUACAGAUUAUUUCAUCACCAAGGUAUUAAAUCUGGUAUCCAUUAUUUAUUUUUCCUGAUCCUUUCCCUCCUCCCACUUUCCACUCUCUGGUAGGCCCCAGUGUGUGUUGUUCCACUCUAUGUGUCUAUGUGUUCUCAUCGUUUAGUUCCCACCUGUAAGUGAGAACAUGUGAUAUUUGGUUUUCUGUUUUUGCGUUAGUUUGCUAAGGAUAAUGGCCUCCAGUUCCAUUCAUGUCCCUGCAAAGGACAUGAUCUCAUUCUUUUUUAUGGCUGCAUAGUAGUCCAUGGUGUAUAUGUACCACAUUUUCUUUAUCCAGUCUAUCAUUGAUGGGCAUUUGGAUUGAUUCCAUGUCUUUGCUAUUGUGAAUAGUGCUGCAAUGAACAUAUGCGUGCAUAUAUCUUUAUAACAGAAUGAUUUGUAAUCCUUUAGGUAUAUAUAUACCUAGUAAUAGGAUUGUUUGGUUGAAUGUUAUUUCUGUCUUGAGGAAUCAUCACACUGUUUUCCACAAUGGUUGAAAUAAUUUACACUUCUACCAACAGUGUGUAACUGUUCCUUUUUCUCCAUAACCUCACCAGCAUGUUAUUUUUUGACUUUUUUAUAAUGGCCAUUCUCACUGGCGUGAGAUGGUAUUUCAUUGUCGUUUGGAUUUGCAUUUCUCUAAUGAUCAAUGAUGUUGAGCUUUUUUUCAUAUGCUUGUUGGCCUCAUGCAUGUCUCCCUUUCACAACUGCCAAAAAAAAAAAAAAAUACCUAGGAAUAUAGAUAACAUGGUAAAUGAAAAGA
This is a long non-coding RNA of Homo sapiens (human), 5638 nucleotides long. RefSeq lists it as uncharacterized. NCBI's taxonomy places the organism in Eukaryota, Metazoa, Chordata, Mammalia, Primates, Hominidae. The record is from RefSeq and is a predicted model, not a curated record. The transcript has 3 exons.